UCCGUAGGUGAACCUGCGGAAGGAUCAUUAACGAAAUUUGAUUUACAUCUUAUUUUGUGCUUAUUUACACUUAAGUGUGUAUUUUUGCUUCUGGGUUUCUAACGAAGCCCAGGUGAAUAAAACUCUAAAGAUUUAUUUUGUCUAAAGCUAAAUUUAUUGAAUAAAUUAAAACUUUCAACAACGGAUCUCUAGGUUCUCGCAUCGAUGAAGAACGCAGCGAAAUGCGAUAUGUAUUGUGAAUUGCAGAAUUUCGUGAAUCAUCGAAUCUUUGAACGCACAUUGCGCCUGGUGGUACUCCSCCAGGCAUGCUUGUUUGAGCGUCAUUUCUCUCUCACUUCUAGUGGUUUUGCUGUUUAUCUUUCCCUUUGAUGGGGAAAGUGCAGUGAAAGGAAAUGGCAAGGCUUUGACUUUGGAAACGUGUUUUAGGUUCUACCAACUACAUUACUACCUUUGUCAACCAAGUCGGCUUGAUAACCUUUUUUCAAUGUUGACCUCAAAUCAAGUAGGACUACCCGCUGAACUUAAGCAUAUCAAUAAGCGGAGGA
Molecule: ribosomal RNA, 545 nt
Filed under: Saccharomycetes sp. IWBT-Y813
Lineage: Eukaryota; Fungi; Ascomycota; Saccharomycetes
Description: eukaryotic LSU rRNA
Rfam family: 5.8S ribosomal RNA (bases 170-323)
Source: RNAcentral